This 1635-nucleotide long non-coding RNA is filed under the name Capra hircus (goat). RNAcentral's name for it is "lncRNA (ENSCHIG00010021457.1)". The record is from RNAcentral. Lineage: Eukaryota; Metazoa; Chordata; Mammalia; Artiodactyla; Bovidae.
GCUGAAUUCUUCUUCCCAAUUAUAGUCUAAUGGUUCCAUCAUCCUUUCCAUCAUUCAUGCAUUCAUCCAGCCAGUGAUAUUUAUUGAGCACCUACUAUGUGUCUGUCGUAGGGGACCCAAGGAGAAUAUGUAAACAAAAGGGAAUAUGGAUUCCCUGCCCUCGCGGAACGGACAUUCUAGUAAGCGAGACAGACAAGAAACAAGAUUAAACAAGUAAAAUUAUGCAGACAGAGGAAAGAAGAUAGAAGAGGAGGGAAAAGAAGGGGAAGUGGAAUGUCAUUUACAGAAGCCCUAGACUACAAUAAACACAGUUUGCACCCCACCCUCCAAAGUUGCAGAACAGAGAAUGACAUUUGUCUUGCUGGAGGUUUACUUGAACAUGGUGACCUGACCUACCCAGACAGCUGCAACAAAGGAUUCUUGACAUCAGGAAGUUUGCAGCAACCAACCACACCUCCUCCCCUUUCCGUAUCAAAGAAGCCUGAAUUCUAACUCAGGGAAGAUGGUUCUUUGGGAUAUUAGCCCACCAUCUUCUCAGUUUGCUGGCUUUCCAAAUAAAGUCGAUAUUGCUUGCCCCAACUUGUUUCUUCAUUUAUUGGCCUGUUGUGCAGCAAGCAGUAGGAGCUUGGAUUCAGUAACACCUCUGUACAGUGGAAUAUUAUUCAGUCAUUAAAAAUAACGGUUCCCUGAUGGCUCAGACUAUAAAGAAUCUGCUUGAAAUGUGGGAGAAUCGGGUUCAAUCCCUGGAUCAGAAAGAUCUGAUGGAGAGGGGAAUAGCAACCCACUCCAGUAUCCUUGCCUGGGGAAUUCCAUGGACAGAGGAGCCUGGAGGGGUACAGUCCAUGGGACCUCAAAGAGUCAGACACAACUGAGUGAUUAACACACACAUCAAAAAUAAAGAAGCACUGAGACAUACUACAACAUGGCUGAACCUCAAAAACAUUACGCUGAGUGAAGGAAGCCAGACACAAAGUGUCACGUAGUGUAUGAUUCCCUUCAUAUGAAACAUCCAGAAUAGGCAAAGCCACAGAGACAGAGAGUAGAUUGGCAGUUUCCAGGAGCAGGGGGAUGGGGAGACAGGGGCUGCCUGCUAGUGAGUAUAGGGCUGCAUUUUGAGGUGAUGGAAAUGUCCUAAAAUAAGAUAGAAAAGUGGCACGAUACUGUGAAUGUACUAAAUGCUCUGAAUUGUUCUCUUUCAAAGGGUUAGAGACUUCCCUGGUGGUCCAGUGGUUAAAACUUUGCCUUCCAGGGCAGGGGGUUCAAACCAGCCAGGUUCAAUCCCCAGCUGGUCAGGGAGCUGAAAUCCCACGUGCCUUAACGGCCAAAAACCAAACAGAAACCCCCAUAAAACAGAAGCAAUAUUGUAACAAACUCAAUAAAGACUUUAAAAAUGAUCCACAUCAAAAGAAUCUUUAGGAACUUCCCUGGUGGUCCAGCGGCUAAGGCUCCAGAGUCCCAGUGCAGAGGGCCUGAAGUUCAAUCCCCUGGUCAGGGAAUUGGAUCCCACAUGCCACAACUAAGACCUGGCAGAGCCAGGAAAAAAAAACUGUAAAUAAAUAAAAAGAUUAAUUUCAUGUGAAAGGAAUUUCCCACAAAUUUUUUUUAACGCAGUGCAAGAGUGAGGAGAAAAUAAAC